GUGCAGCAGGCGCGAAAACUCCGCAAUGUGCGAAAGCAUGACGGGGUCACCCCGAGUGCCAUCCGCUGAGGGUGGCUUUUACUCGGUGUAACUACCCGAGCGAAUAAGGGGAGGGCAAGUCUGGUGUCAGCCGCCGCGGUAAUACCAGCUCUCCGAGUGGUAGGGACGAUUAUUGGGCUUAAAGCGUCCGUAGCCGGCUCAGCAAGUCUCCCGUUAAAUCCAACGAUUCAAUCGUUGGACUGCGGGAGAUACUGUUGAGCUAGGAGGCGGGAGAGGCCGACGGUAUUCCCGGAGUAGGGGUGAAAUCUUAUAAUUCCGGGAGGACCACCAGUGGCGAAGGCUGUCGGCUAGAACGCGCUCGACGGUGAGGGACGAAAGCUGGGGGAGCGAACCGGAUUAGAUACCCGUGUAGUCC
Molecule: ribosomal RNA, 415 nt
Filed under: uncultured crenarchaeote
Lineage: Archaea; Thermoproteati; Thermoproteota
Description: partial 16S ribosomal RNA
Rfam family: Archaeal small subunit ribosomal RNA
Source: RNAcentral